UCAAUCACCGCGUCUCCCUUGAUGUCUUCAACGGCGUGCAUGUAAGGCACAUACGCACUCCCACCCUCACGCUCACAGAACACAGGUCGUUGGGGCUCAGCGACAUAGCAGCUCGGAGUCCCUUAUGACGGUAAUACAGCUCUCUUCUCUACCGCUGGCGACGCAGAUGCUACUGGAUCCAGCGGUGGUACUCGAUCAGGGCAUCCUCGAGGAGUGGAAUGCCGCGUGCGCGGCAGCUGGCUCCCAGAGUAUCGAACACACCGGCGUUGAUCUUUCCUCGACUAUGGCUAGGGGCGGUGCCGUGCGCCGACGCGAGCCACGGCGGCUCGUGGACACGAACGACUUCCUCAAGCUUGCAGAGGCUCUGGACACGCUCGCUGAUGAGCUGAACGUGAAUGCUGCCCCCGGUGGUGCAUCACCGUCUUUGGCGGCAGAGCCACCCACGAAAGCCGCGAGACGCGAUCUCAGCGUCGACGAGCUGGACCCGCUCGGGAUGGACGGGCUGACGGGGGCACAAUUAGAAGACGCGCAAGAGGCUCACCGGCUUUUUGGCGCGAAGGAGUACGCAGCCGCCACGGCCGCUUUCCUCCGUGUUUCCUCCGCCUGCCUGGCGCAUGAGCUGACACCGGCUCUGCUCAACAAUGUGGCGGUGUGUCACUUCGUGAUGGAGCAGUGGAACGCGUGCGAGUCAACCACGCGGCGUGUGCUCGCUGUUGAUGCGACAGAGCGCUAUCCGAGCGCGCGACGACUGACGCGCGUCUUCAUCUCACAGGGGCGCCUGCAAGAGGCGCAGCAGGCCGUCAGCCCACAUCGUGACGCCAUCGACUGGGCCGCCGAAGUGGCGGCUGUGAAGGCUUGCACGAGCUACACCAACUUGUACGCUGCCCAUCAGUACAGCAAGGCGCUCGAGUGCUUGGAGGUGGUGCUGUCACUUUGUCCAUGCGGCACGCUGGAGGCGGCAAAGGCGCGUCUUCUCUCUCUCGACAACACCGCGCAGGCAGUGAGCUACGCGGCGCAACGUUCCCGAGCUUAUACGACGUCGACAGAGCUGCACUUCUGUUUGUGGUCUCUCACCUUCCACUCCGUCACCUCCGUUGUUGGACUCGACACCCUUCUCGCGGGCAUGCAAGCCACACCUUUGGGCAGGUCGGAGCUGCGGUUUCGACACCUGCACACGCACAUCGCACGUUGCAAGGAGGCGUUUGCGAAGCUGCACGGCCUGCGGACUGCGCGACAGUGGCGCGAGGCAGCAACCUUUGUCACGCAAGUCCUCGCCGAGCCGUUUCUCCCAGAUGGGCUGAAGGGUGUAAUGUACUACGAGCGUGCGCGGGUCCUUGCUCAGCAGGCAAGCUGGUAUGCCGCCCUUGACGAUACGCACCGUGCACUGUCCUACACCGAGGAGGUAUCUCUGCGUGCAAGCAUGCUGCUUCUCGUCGCCCGUUGCGAGGAGGCACUUGGCCGCUUGACAGACGCCGUCUACCACACCGAAGAAAGCCUUUGCCUUGUCUCCAACGCUGCGGCCGUAGAGCAGCUGCGUUCGCUCAAGGCACACUUGGCACAUGCGCAGGCUUCUACUGAUGCUCCCAGAACAACACCCUGCACCACGUCGAAGGAGACACCGAAGGCGAAAACGAAUGCCAACGCGUUUUUUCCAGUGUCUCGCGCAUCACUUGAUGUGCAUUAUAAAACGCUCUCUCUCCCCCGCAGCGCCGGUGCAGCAGACGUGAAGAAGUCAUACCGAGCCUUGGCGAUAAAGUGGCACCCCGAUCGGUGGUGCAGCGCUUCGGAUGAGGCCAUACGCACCGCAGAAUCGACCUUCAAGAAGAUCCAGCACGCCUACGAAGAGAUCAUGAAGAGCGCCUCCUGAAAGAAAUCACAGGGCGGUUACCGUUUCCCUCCCCUCGUAAACAUCACGAGCCUGUCUACAUCUGCCUUGGCCCACCACAG
RNAcentral lists this unclassified non-coding RNA (1947 nucleotides) under Leishmania donovani. Its description in RNAcentral is "gene:LdHU3.18.2110(CDS-product:chaperone_protein_ DNAj_putative)". Lineage: Eukaryota; Euglenozoa; Kinetoplastea; Trypanosomatida; Trypanosomatidae. The record is from RNAcentral.